UCCCUGGUGGUCCAGUGGCUAAGACUCUGUGUUCCCAAUGCAGGGGCCUGGGUUGGAUCCCUGGUCAGGGAA
RNAcentral lists this transfer RNA (72 nucleotides) under Bos taurus (domestic cattle). It matches the Rfam family "tRNA". Rfam says of the family: Transfer RNA (tRNA) molecules are approximately 80 nucleotides in length. The record is from Rfam by way of RNAcentral. Lineage: Eukaryota; Metazoa; Chordata; Mammalia; Artiodactyla; Bovidae. RNAcentral also lists the same sequence under 3 other names.